Molecule: ribosomal RNA, 415 nt
Filed under: uncultured bacterium
Lineage: Bacteria
Description: partial 16S ribosomal RNA
Rfam family: Bacterial small subunit ribosomal RNA
Source: RNAcentral
UUGGACAAUGGGGGCAACCCUGAUCCAGCCAUGCCGCGUGUGUGUAGAAGGUCUUCGGAUUGUAAAGCACUUUAAGUUGGGAUGAAGGGCUUUAGGCUAAUACCCUUACGUUUUGACGUUACCUACAUAAUAAGCACCGGCUAACUCUGUGCCAGCAGCCGCGGAAAUUCAGAGGGGUCAAGCGUAAAGCGGAAUUACUGGGCGUAAAGCGCGGGUAGGUGGUUCAGUAAGAUGGGUGUGAAAGCCCCGGGCUUAACCUGGGAACUGCUUUCAUAACUGCUGAGCUAGAGUACGGUAGAGGGUAGUGGAAUUUCCUGGGUAGCGGUGAAAUGCGUAGAUAUAGGAAGGAACACCAGUGGCGAAGGCGACUACCUGGACUGAUACUGACACUGAGGUGCGAAAGCGUGGGGAGCAA